Macaca mulatta (Rhesus monkey) is the source of this 4470-nucleotide non-coding RNA. Lineage: Eukaryota; Metazoa; Chordata; Mammalia; Primates; Cercopithecidae. The record is from RefSeq and is a predicted model, not a curated record.
GACAGAGCUAAACUCUGUCUCAAAAAAAAUUAAAAUAAACAGCCCUGAGGGGAGCCCCAGUGGCCCCCACCCCCAGCACAGUUGAACUGACUGAGCACUGUCUACACUGGAUGUACACACUCACAUCCUCACUUUCUCUCCCCAGACAGGAAAUGUCUGCAGGGAGUGACUCUGUGUCCUCAUCAGGAGACCCCUGUUUCUGGCCCCUCAGGAACUAGGGGUCAGCAUGUCCUACCCAGUGAAGCCCUCCCGGGCUCUUUCUGCCCACAGGAAGUGCCUCCUUCCAUCCUGUUUUCCUCUCACCACCACCCCCCAGGGCGCUGAGGGCCAGCUGGACAAAAGGUGGUGAGAGAUGGGCCAGGUGGGUCCCCUGCAGGGGUGCCAGAUGCCGUGUGCUGCCGUGGAUGUCACUGGGAUAUCAGUCAGCCCAUUCUCUGUGGGCCAAGGAGUCACUGCUAACAGGAGUUGUCCCAGAGGGUCACACCCUUGAGUCUUGUGGCAAGGCCAGCAGGAGGACCAGCUGGAGCACGGAGAGCAUCCUCAGAUCACCAGCAGAAGGAUGAUCGUCUGCCAAGGCCAACUGGAAGACUCCACAGACCUCCCAAGUCCUGGCUAGGCUCAAUCCUGCUGUUAUAAGUCCCCCUGGGUCUUCCCUGAAUCCUCCCAGAGCCCUCCCUGAAUCUUCCCAAGUGCUCCCCGAAUCCUCCCCAGGUUGUUUCCUGGAGUCCUCCCAGUCCUUCCUGGAUCCUCUCCACAUCCUCCCUGAGUGCUCCCAGAAUCCUCCACAGUCCUCCCCGUGUUCUCUCAGGUGUGGGCUGCUGUACCUGGAAUUGGCCCUAGCGGGUGACUGGGGCUGGAGUUUUGUUGACACCAGUGGAGCCACAAGCCUGCAGUGCACAGGUGUGAUGGCAGGCCUGUGAGCGUUUGGGGAUGCAUGGCCUUGCUCCCUUUGCGCUGGUGUCUGGAUGUGCUCAGAGACCACCUGGGUCCCCUGGCCUCUGGGACAAGGCCAGUCAAGCCUCGGAGCAGGUGGGACCCCAAGCAGAGCCAAGGCAUCCCCAGCCCCAGCCCUUGUUCCCGUGUGCCCCAUCUUCCGAUGCACUUCCCUAUGUCAUGUGGUACCAGCUCUGCCUCUGACUCCCCAUGCAGUAGCCCUAGGGCCCCUCCCUGCCAGUGUCCUCCUGGGCCUUCUGGGAUGGGCGAGAACCUGCUCACGUGGGUACAUGCACAGCAAGCAUCGGAGGGUCUCCUUCCCUGGGAAACAUCACAGCCCCACAGUGGGUCACCCUCAAUGCAAACCACUCAGCUUCCGGGUGGCAAGCCUGCAGAGUGGCCCCAGGCAUGCUGGGCCACCUUCUAAGUGUGCCAGUCCCAUCGCUGUGUGUGUGUGGAUGUGCCAGAGAUGUACAGUCCCACCUCCCUGUCUGUGUCCCAUGCCCCCAUGAGUGUGUCCUCACACCUCUUGCCCCGCCUCCCCGCCGUGUGCCCCUCGUAGCAGCUUGGCCCUGCCCGCUGCACCAUGUGUACACAGAGGCUUAUUUUCUCUGCCUUUAGGGCCAGGGGUGUGCUCAUAAAUCGCGCAGUCGAUGACACAUUUAUCCCGCGGGCGGCUGGCGGUGUGAAUUUAUGGCUGCACCCCCUUCCUGGCUGAGGCAGGACAGGGGCCGGGAUACCUCUCAGGCAAAAACCUCCAGUCCACUGCACUGCGCUGUUGUGGGGCCAUGGGGGCAGGGGCUGGGCCAGGAGGGCUCAGAAGUGCUCCCAAGGUCCCGUCUUGCUCAGAAACCCUGCAAUUUCAGGGUGCUUGGGGCAAUGAGAGGUGAGGCCGCUCUGCCUGCGUGAGGGCUGGGGGCACAGUGGCUGCCCACCUGCCAGAGACAUGGAGGCCCAGAGCCCAGCCUAAUGUCCCAGCCUCCAUGCCCCCUUACAGUCUGCUCCUCAUCUUCCCACCUAUGAAAGAGGGAACAACCUGGACACCCCAGGGAGAGCAGGUGUGCGGGUGGCUCCCCUCAGGUGCUGAUUCAGCCACCCACUGCCACUGGGCCUGCUGGGAGCAUUGAGAUUUGGGGAGGACUGUCGGAAAGGGUGGGGGCCUCGAGGGCAGCUGGAUCUGCACACAGGGAGGAGGAGCGGAAAUGCUGUCACAUCAGAGCAGAGAGCCCCCCAGAGCUCACCUGCCCUCCUCUGCCUUGUAAAGAUGGGGAAACUGAGGCCCAGGGAGAGCAGAGGUCCCAGACCACAUGGGUAGAAUAACAAAGCCUCAAGAUCCUGGAUUCCUAGUAUGCAAUAAGGGGGGUCCUAGGCGCACCCCUCCCUGUUGAGCCUUCUUUGUCCUGCAAAGUCUGGAGGUGGGGCCUCGGGCUGAAGGCUCAACAGGGAGCUGAUGGAGCAAGUUGGCAAGCUGGUCCCAUCAGGGCCACAGCUGGGGACUGGGACCUGGCUGCCUCCCCUCCGUCCGUCGGUCUGUCUGUGUGCAGGGUCGGGUCUCCAGGGGACCCUCUGUCGGCUCUCAAGCUCCCUCCCAUCUCGGCCCUGGCCCCCCCUCACCGCCCGCUGUCAGGAUGAGCGAUGGCCAUGCCCCUCCCCGGCCCUCAGCCCCAGGCCCGGUUCCCGCUCAUUAGCCGCUGACACUGUUUGCUUUCCCGCCCUGGACGCCCACCCCGUCACAGGCCAUUUCUCCUGGCGCCCCCCACCCCUGAGGACCUGCCCAGGGGUCCAGGGUGCCGGGUCGAGGGGGCUGCCGGGUGCCAGGCAGGACCUGCAUUAUGCUCACAGAGCAAUGGCCACAUGGAGUGCCGGCCCCACCCUCACCUGCACCCCGAGAGACGGGGAGCCACGGGUCACCUGGAGUCUCCCAUAGCCCUGUCCACAUCCCACAGGCCAGACACAGCCACAAUGAGACUGGACCGUGCCUUGCAGCUUGGAUGGCUUGGUGCUGUACACACUGGGAGGGUCUUUGAUGACAAGUACCGGGCCCACUGCACCCAUCUCUGUCUCUCUUUAUCAUUGCCCCUAUUUCUGUCUUUGCCUGGGUCUCUGCCCCCAGCCCCAUCCUGUGGAAUGACCACUGAGCCACUGGCCCAUUCGGAAAGUACAUCCCCCACCUGGAGCCCCUCUGUUCCCCCCAGGCAGCCCCAGUACACAGCCUGGGGGGGUGGGUCCUGAGGCAGCAGGCACCCCUCCCUCCUGCACCACUCCCGCCCCCGAUAUGGCCACAGCUGGGCGGCAUCAGGGCCCGCAGGCCAGUGGCAGUCAGUCCUUCACUUAAAAAUGUGUUUGUGAUUUCGGCGGCGAGGCAGAUAACGGUGACGAAUGGCCCGCCCGGCCCCCAGGGCCCUCAGCCCAUCUGGUUUGACUUUGGCCUGUCGGAGGUGCCCUUGGGCCUCACCCCUGCCCUCUGGCAGUGCCCUCCGAGUGAGGCACCCUCAACCUUUGCACACUCUGGUCCCUUUGCUGGAAACGGCUCUCCCGUCCACCCGUCUGUCCCCCCAUCAUGGGAUCCCCUGGCUAUGCCCAUAGGAGCCACGCCUGCAGCACUCAGGGUGGCAGGCCCUGGGCAGUGCUCAGGUUUGCAGGGUGGUGGGAAGGCACAGGCCCAGCAGGGAGGGGGCAUACUUUGCCUGGGGCCUGCAUCCCCUCUGUCCAGUAGGGAAUAGUGAGUGCCCACCUGAGGCCAGAGGGGCCGAGGCUAAGGUGAUGGAAUGGGCCAGGACCGAGAGAGGUGGCCCGGUGGCCGGGGCAGGGCCUAGCCCUGUGAGACAGCCCAUGUGGUCAUUGUCAGCAGGAAUUUCUGACAGGCUCGGGACCCUCCCGACCAUCGAUUAUCCAAGCAGGAGGAGUGGCUUCCGGGUCCGGCCAUGGGCUCAGCGGGGAGGUCAUUGAGGUCAAACCUGAGUGCCCCUCCUCCUCCAGUCUCCCCUUCUACUCCCUUCGGGCUCCCCAGGUGGGCUGAGGUGCCUGGAAGGUUGCUCUGUGCCACUGGGCCCUUGCUCCUGCCCAGUUUGAAUCCUGGCCGGCUACCACAGGGAGUGGUCAGGGGUCCACUAGGGACUGGGGCUCAUGCAUUCCUUAGCACAACUUCCCCAUCAACCCCUGCAUGCCCAGGUCAUAGACAGGAGUCAGACCUGGCCCUCAGAGAGGAGAUAAGGAGAGGUGGGGGUGCUUCGAGGUCCCUUGGCCCAUCUCAGGGGUUGGGAAGGGGCUUGUGUAGAGGGAGGGCAUUCAGGCUGAAUGGAAGAGGCAGCCCUCCAUGGGGAUCUGGGGUCGCCUCUAGGAGAGACACUGCUCCGUUCCCCACUGCACCCUCCAGGCCCACUCCUGCCCUGUAGCGAGGACAGCUGUAGGGGGUGGGGAGGGGCGGCGCCAUGUCAGGACCCCCACUCCCUCCCCAAAAGCAGGAAAAUCCCUCUCCCUUAGUAUCACAUUGUUGAGAAUUAACUUUGUUGAAAUAAAAAUUGGUCGUGGUAUUAA